AGCAGCCGCGGUAAUUCCAGCUCCAAUAGCGUAUAUUAAAGUUGUUGCAGUUAAAAAAGCUCGUAGUUGAAUUUCGGGGUUAGUAGAUUGGUCAUGCCUCUGGUAUGUACUGGUCUCACUGAUUCCUCCUUCCUGAUGAGCCGUAAUGCCAUUAAUUUGGUGUUGCGAGGAAUCUGGACUGUUACUUUGAAAAAAUUAGAGUGUUUAAAGCAGGCUAACGCUUGAAUACAUUAGCAUGGAAUAAUGAAAUAGGACGUUCGAUCCUAUUUUGUUGGUUUCUAGGAUUGACGUAAUGAUUAAUAGGGAUAGUUGGGGGCAUUAGUAUUCAAUUGUCAGAGGUGAAAUUCUUGGAUUUAUUGAAGACUAACUACUGCGAAAGCAUUUGCCAAGGAUGUUUUCAUUAAUCAAGAACGAAAGUUAGGGGAUCGAAGACGAUCAGAUACCGUCGUA
This 450-nucleotide ribosomal RNA is filed under the name uncultured Glomeromycotina. RNAcentral's name for it is "SSU rRNA". It matches the Rfam family "Eukaryotic small subunit ribosomal RNA", at positions 569 to 1022 of the family's 1831-position model. The record is from RNAcentral. Lineage: Eukaryota; Fungi; Glomeromycota.